RNAcentral lists this ribosomal RNA (469 nucleotides) under Philonthus atratus. Its description in RNAcentral is "SSU rRNA". It matches the Rfam family "Eukaryotic small subunit ribosomal RNA", at positions 181 to 628 of the family's 1831-position model. Lineage: Eukaryota; Metazoa; Arthropoda; Insecta; Coleoptera; Staphylinidae. The record is from RNAcentral.
CCCCGACGGAAACGGAGGGGUGCUUUUAUUAGAACAAAACCAAUCGGCGGCGGGGUCGCGAGACUCUGUCGUCGUACACCUUGGUGAAUCUGAAUAACUUAGCUGAUCGCGCACGGUCUAGCACCGGCGACGUAUCUUUCAAAUGUCUGCCUUAUCAACUGUCGAUGGUAGGUUCUGCGCCUACCAUGGUUGUAACGGGUAACGGGGAAUCAGGGUUCGAUUCCGGAGAGGGAGCCUGAGAAACGGCUACCACAUCCAAGGAAGGCAGCAGGCGCGCAAAUUACCCACUCCCGGCACGGGGAGGUAGUGACGAAAAAUAACGAUACGGGACUCAUCCGAGGCCCCGUAAUCGGAAUGAGUACACUUUAAAUCCUUUAACAAGGAUCAAUUGGAGGGCAAGUCUGGUGCCAGCAGCCGCGGUAACUCCAGCUCCAAUAGCGUAUAUUAAAGUUGUUGCGUUUAAAAAGCU